CCUCCUCCUCACCUGGGGCCUGAAAGGAGAAUCAGCAUCCCCAUGGCCAGCCUCAGCACCUUCCCUGGGAUCAGCCCCUGGGGAUCAGCCCCGUCUCCCAGGUGUGCUCCAAAAACCCUUCAGCACCCCUUGAUGAGGCCGUGACCCAGCUGGGGGGGCUCUGCCAGCGACCCCCAGCACCGGAGCCAGCCCCUGCCGUGAGGAUGCACUCACGUUUCCCGGGAAGGAGCGGUGGGAUGCAGGAUGCUGCAGCUCCGAGGAUGCCCCCGGGGCGUCGGGCUGGGAGCGGUGCCGGGAGGGCUCGGGAGGCGCUGCGGGAUUCACCGCUGGGAAGGAAAAAAAAUCCCAAGUGACGCAGCUCCAGCCGUGCCCAAGGCCGCUCUCUCCCUUGCCCAGUGACCCCACUCCUCCGGGUCCCUGCAGCUGGGAAUGCGCUCCUACAACCCCGGCGUGUUGUCGCUGCUCCCCAGAAACAAGGUCCCGGCCUUCCCCAUCCUCAUCCUCCUCCGAAACCGCGCUGCUGAGGGGGGCACGGCCCCCACCCUGACCUGGGCAGGGAUUUUGAGCCUCUCCAGCUCAGUGCCGGCAGCCCAGGACACAGCACGGCCGUGGGAUCCUGGAUGGCUCCAGGAACCACCAGCUCCUCGCACUUGUCCCCACAGGAUGGGGAGCAUCGCCAGCCGGGAUGUGUGCCCCACCACCCCGCAGCUCCAGGUGGGAGUGCGGCACAUCCAUGGGAAGGUCUCAGCGCUCCUUGCCCAACACUCGCUCCCUUCCCAGCUGGGCCGUGGCGAAGCGCUCGGGGAGGUGGGAGCGGAGCUUUGGCACCUCCUGCGGGCUACCCACCCCCCGAAAGCCUCAGCCGGGGGCUGACACCCCCCUCAAACGCACUCACAGCAGCUGAACCUCCUCUUCCAGACGGCGCGGGAGCCACCCCACAUCGCCGAGAGCCAGAGCCGAGUGCCGGGCGCGCGUCCCGGAGCUCCCUUUUAUAUCCAGCGCAGCCAGCGACGGGCCCUGUAUCCACAGGCACCUCAUUACAGGACCGGUUCCCAACUGGUUCCUCGCAGGCUUUGGGAUCGGCGAUACUGGCUGGGCCAGUGGUUAAGGACUCCCUUCCCACCCCAGCUGGGAAGGCGAGAGGGUUGUUUGGGUGCCGGCUGUAUCCCACCAAAUUCCAGAAAAUUCACUCCAGA
This is a long non-coding RNA of Parus major (Great Tit), 1196 nucleotides long. RefSeq lists it as uncharacterized. The record is from RefSeq and is a predicted model, not a curated record. The transcript is spliced from 3 exons. Lineage: Eukaryota; Metazoa; Chordata; Aves; Passeriformes; Paridae.